RNAcentral lists this transfer RNA (76 nucleotides) under Candidatus Improbicoccus pseudotrichonymphae. RNAcentral describes it as "tRNA-Thr". It matches the Rfam family "tRNA". Rfam says of the family: Transfer RNA (tRNA) molecules are approximately 80 nucleotides in length. Their secondary structure includes four short double-helical elements and three loops (D, anti-codon, and T loops). The record is from RNAcentral. Lineage: Bacteria; Bacillati; Bacillota; Clostridia.
GCUGAUGUAGCUCAGUUGGUAGAGCAAUUGAUUUGUAAUCAAUGGGUCAUGGGUUCAAGUCCCCUCAUCAGCUCCA